GGCGGCGGCAAGCGCUGGGUGCCGGGAGCCGGGAGCGCAGCUUUAUAGCGCGCUGAUAGACGGGGUCAGUUGGAGCGGCCGGGGCCAGCGGUGGGGGGCCCGGCCUGCCACCUUGCCUUAUUUGGUCGCUUUAGCACCAUCUAGGCCUGCCAAGGCCAUUCAUGGAGCCAAGGGCAAGAGAGAGGAUCAGCUGGGGGGCUCCCGGACCAUCAAGCUCCCCAUUUGAUUGGCACGUAUGUUGAAGUGUGACACACUGGUAGAAAUGACUGAUACCAUCUCAUUGGUGGAAAACAGGUUUCGAAGAAUCGAGACAUGUGAGAAGGAAAAAGAAAGAUGGCAUGAGGAGGCAAAGCUAGAUCUCUCGUGACUCAGGCAGAUGGAGAAGAAGCAAAGAAAAGGAGAAACAGGGAUGGCCUUAGAGCCAGACAGGCCAAACUUCAAAUCCUGCCUCUGUCACUUGGCACUCACUCUGUAUGCAUUUCAUCAUAGGAAACUCCCUUGCAGUUUGAGUGAGCCUGCUUCAUAUAUCCUAGGAGGCAGGGAACCUCAGAACCGCAUCUGCCUGCAGCCACACAGUUGAGCAAAUGGAAGAGAGAGACUUCAAACCCAGGCACUUGGGUGAAGCCCUGUUGGUAAUCAGCACCAAAAAUGCCCUUCUGUCUACUGAGACUGCUGUUUCUCAGAUGAGGAGGCUAGAAUCACCUGCACCCUGGCUGCCUAAUAGAAAUUCAAAUUCCUAUGUUCUACCCUAGAAAUCUGAAUCCGCAUUUUAAAUGAGCCUUCAGCCCCCCUUCCCCAGGUAAGUCUCUCCUUUUUCCACCACAGGCUUUCUUCCCUGAGCCCAUGCAGCUUUGCUAGAUGCAGCCCAGGCUGCCAGUGCUGGCCAGUGUCCAGUUUGGCUGACCUUGUUCACCCCAGUGGGAUGGCAAAGCUGAUAGGUCCGCAGGGUACUGGAGGGCCAGCAAGGCCUUUCACAGCACAGACAUGCCAUGAGGGUGAUGUGCAAGGCAAGCUGAAGGAACAGAAGGUAGGACAGUCCCCG
Molecule: long non-coding RNA, 1042 nt
Filed under: Heterocephalus glaber (naked mole-rat)
Lineage: Eukaryota; Metazoa; Chordata; Mammalia; Rodentia; Bathyergidae
Description: lncRNA (ENSHGLG00100037626.1)
Source: RNAcentral